Long non-coding RNA from Aricia agestis (brown argus), 104 nucleotides. RefSeq lists it as uncharacterized. The transcript is spliced from 3 exons. The record is from RefSeq and is a predicted model, not a curated record. NCBI's taxonomy places the organism in Eukaryota, Metazoa, Arthropoda, Insecta, Lepidoptera, Lycaenidae.
CAAUUAAGUAAACAACUUACAAUAAAUAGUAAAUACGAACACAACUAACACUCACUGUUGUUGACGAGGUAGGUUCAACUAAAUGCAACGUAAGACUUCAACCU